This is a long non-coding RNA of Callithrix jacchus (white-tufted-ear marmoset), 1379 nucleotides long. RefSeq lists it as uncharacterized. The record is from RefSeq and is a predicted model, not a curated record. Lineage: Eukaryota; Metazoa; Chordata; Mammalia; Primates; Cebidae.
AUCCUCCAUUUUUGAUUCCUGAAAGGUGACCAGGUGAAAGCAGAGCCUGACUUCCUGGGGAAAUGGUCUCAGCACAGUGAAUGCUACAUUCAGAGGUAGGAAGACUCUGGAUGUGAACUACUUCGUGUUUCUUUUGUAAAAUUACCAAAAAAAAAGAGCAAUGUCCACAAAAGCAGAAGGAGGAAUGCGGAAGGAGAGGAUGAGUUUAGACUAAGCUCUUUUGUUACCUCACUUCUGCUUUUGAAGUCCCACAGCUCCGUAAGGAUUCCUCAAACUGGAAGCGGUGGCUCUAGGAGGAUGUACAUCUUCAAGUCCUUGGGUUUCCCCUGGAAAGACAGAAUGAAUUCACAUUCCCACCUGCAUUGGCUGAGAAGUCCCCUUUCCCCGACUUCCUUGACAAAAAUGGAUAUUAUCAUUCCUUUUUAUCUUUACCAAUAUGGAAGUUUUGUGUAACUGAACACGAGAAUUACAGAAGAGGCCAAGCUUGGUGGCUCACGCCUGUAAUCCCAACACUUUGGGAGGCUGAGGCGGGUGGAUCACUUGAGGCCAGGAGUUUGAAACCACCCUGGACAACAUGAUGAAAUCCUAUUUCUAUCAAAAAAAUCCCCCCAACGUACACCAAAUUAGCGACAUGUUGAUGCAUUCCUGCGGUCCCCGCUAACUUGGGAGGCUUAGUGGGAGGAUCACUUGAGCCCAGGAGGCUGAGGCUGCAUUGAGACAUGAUUGCACCUCUGCACUCCAGCCUGAGCAACAGAGUGAGAUCCUGUCUCAAAAAAAGGAAAAGAAAAGAGGAAUUCAGGGACAGAAUGGAAUUGUGGCUCCAUCCCAACUCAGAAGCUCACUUUCUUCAGCUAUAAAAUGGGGUAAAGAAUAAUCUUUCCCAAAGAGAAAAGUUAAACACCUUAGUCCUAGCCCUAGCCACCCCAGCAGCUCUCUUUUCUUCCCAAACUCCUUUUCAGUCUUGUCUCCUCCAGCAGCCUGGGUAUUCCCGCAUGAAUGUAAACCACAUGACAUGGUUUGUAUCUGUGUCCCCAUCCAAAUCUCAUGUCAAAUUGUAACCUCAGUGUUGGAGGUAGGGCCUGAUGGGAGGUGACCGGAUCGUGGAGGCAGAGUUCUUAUGAAUGGUUUAGCACAGUCUCCCCUUGGUACUGUGUAGGGAGUAAGUUCUCAUGAGAUCUGGUUGUGUAACAAUAUGGCACCUCCCCUCUCUCUCUUUUCCUUCUGCUCCAGCCUUUGUGAGGAGAAAACUUCACUGCUCCUCUUUGCCUUCUGCCAUAGUUGUUAAGUUCCCUGAGGCCUCCCCAGAAGCUGAUGUCGCCAUGCUUCCUAUACACCCUAUAGAACUAUGAGCCAAUUAAACCUUUUUUCUUUGUAAAUUA